Astatotilapia calliptera (eastern happy) is the source of this 283-nucleotide long non-coding RNA. NCBI's taxonomy places the organism in Eukaryota, Metazoa, Chordata, Actinopteri, Cichliformes, Cichlidae. The record is from Ensembl.
UUUCAGCUCCUCCUCCUCCCUGUGAGUCUGUGCUGAGACUCGUCUGCCAUCUAGUGGUCUUCUGUCCGUACUGCAUCUCCACUGGUCUGCUGCUGUCCAUCUGUUGGAGCAGGAAGACACCGAACAAACCGGCCGUCUCCAUGGAGAUGAGCCAGUGUGAUGGAGGAGGUUGCCUGUUUCCUGUGUCUCUCACGUCCUGGUCCAGUUCAUCCUGGUCUCAUGUUCCAGUUGUUCUUGUUUUUUGCUUUAUUUUCCCCAGUUUAGUCAGUGAGUCCAGUCCUGG